ACUGCCCCGGACAACGGGGAGGAAGGUGGGGAUGACGUCAAGUCCGCAUGGCUCCUUACGUCUAGGGCUACACACGUCCUACAAAUGGGGUCGACAGUGGGAUGCAAAGCCGCGAGGUGGAGACCAAUCCCCAAACGGCCUCUCAGUUCGGAUAGUAGUCUGCAACUCGACUACUUGAAGUCGGAAUCGCUAGUAAUGGCGGAUCAGCAUGCCGCCGUGAAUACGUUCCCGGGUCUU
This 237-nucleotide ribosomal RNA is filed under the name uncultured bacterium. RNAcentral's name for it is "partial 16S ribosomal RNA". It matches the Rfam family "Bacterial small subunit ribosomal RNA", at positions 1148 to 1382 of the family's 1533-position model. The record is from RNAcentral.